GGAAGUUAAGAAACUGUUUCUUAACUUUUAAUUAAAAAAGUUAAGAACCGGUUCUUAAAGUCCUUAUUUAAGAACCAGUUCUUAGUUUUUUUAGUUAAAAGUUAAGAAACAAUUUUUUAACUUCC
RNAcentral lists this microRNA precursor (125 nucleotides) under Brassica napus (rape). RNAcentral describes it as "MIR9563 microRNA precursor family". It matches the Rfam family "MIR9563 microRNA precursor family". RNAcentral also lists the same sequence under 1 other name. The record is from Rfam by way of RNAcentral. Lineage: Eukaryota; Viridiplantae; Streptophyta; Magnoliopsida; Brassicales; Brassicaceae.